Molecule: transfer RNA, 68 nt
Filed under: Enneanectes altivelis (lofty triplefin)
Lineage: Eukaryota; Metazoa; Chordata; Actinopteri; Blenniiformes; Tripterygiidae
Description: tRNA-Ser
Source: RNAcentral
GAAAGAGGCUCGCAAGCUACGAAUACUGCUAAUUUUCGUCACUUCAGUUGGACUCCGAAGCUCUAUUC